UACGGGGGGGUAAGCGUUGUUCGGGAUCACUGGGCGUAAAGGGCGCGUAGGCGGCCGAUUUAGUCGGGGGUGAAAGCCUGUGGCUCAACCACAGAAUUGCCUUCGAUACUGAUUGGCUUGAGACCGGAAGAGGUCAGUGGAACUGCGAGUGUAGAGGUGAAAUUCGUAGAUAUUCGCAAGAACACCAGUGGCGAAGGCGGCUGACUGGUCCGGUUCUGACGCUGAGGCGCGAAAGCGUGGGGAGCAAACAGG
This 252-nucleotide ribosomal RNA is filed under the name uncultured bacterium. Its description in RNAcentral is "partial 16S ribosomal RNA". It matches the Rfam family "Bacterial small subunit ribosomal RNA", at positions 524 to 776 of the family's 1533-position model. The record is from RNAcentral.